This 529-nucleotide ribosomal RNA is filed under the name Salmonella enterica subsp. enterica serovar Uganda. Its description in RNAcentral is "bacterial SSU rRNA". It matches the Rfam family "Bacterial small subunit ribosomal RNA", at positions 986 to 1515 of the family's 1533-position model. The record is from RNAcentral. Lineage: Bacteria; Pseudomonadati; Pseudomonadota; Gammaproteobacteria; Enterobacterales; Enterobacteriaceae.
AUCCACGGAAGUUUUCAGAGAUGAGAAUGUGCCUUCGGGAACCGUGAGACAGGUGCUGCAUGGCUGUCGUCAGCUCGUGUUGUGAAAUGUUGGGUUAAGUCCCGCAACGAGCGCAACCCUUAUCCUUUGUUGCCAGCGGUCCGGCCGGGAACUCAAAGGAGACUGCCAGUGAUAAACUGGAGGAAGGUGGGGAUGACGUCAAGUCAUCAUGGCCCUUACGACCAGGGCUACACACGUGCUACAAUGGCGCAUACAAAGAGAAGCGACCUCGCGAGAGCAAGCGGACCUCAUAAAGUGCGUCGUAGUCCGGAUUGGAGUCUGCAACUCGACUCCAUGAAGUCGGAAUCGCUAGUAAUCGUGGAUCAGAAUGCCACGGUGAAUACGUUCCCGGGCCUUGUACACACCGCCCGUCACACCAUGGGAGUGGGUUGCAAAAGAAGUAGGUAGCUUAACCUUCGGGAGGGCGCUUACCACUUUGUGAUUCAUGACUGGGGUGAAGUCGUAACAAGGUAACCGUAGGGGAACCUGC